This 837-nucleotide ribosomal RNA is filed under the name Haptophyta environmental samples. RNAcentral describes it as "bacterial SSU rRNA". It matches the Rfam family "Bacterial small subunit ribosomal RNA", at positions 481 to 1325 of the family's 1533-position model. The record is from RNAcentral. Lineage: Eukaryota; Haptophyta.
GAGGAAUAAGCAUCGGCUAACUCCGUGCCAGCAGCCGCGGUAAUACGGGGGAUGCAAGCGUUAUCCGGAAUCAUUGGGCGUAAAGCGCCUGUAGGUUGUUUAAUAAGUCUGUUGUUAAAGACUAGGGCUUAACCCUAGAAAAGCAAUGGAAACUACUAGACUAGAGUAUGGCAGGGGUAGAGGGAAUUUCUAGUGUAGCGGUGAAAUGCGUAGAUAUUAGAAAGAACACCGGUGGCGAAAGCGCUCUACUGGACCAUUACUGACACUCAGAGGCGAAAGCUAGGGUAGCAAAAGGGAUUAGAUACCCCUGUAGUCCUAGCCGUAAACGAUGGAUACUAGAUGUUGUGCAUAAUGUACAGUAUCGUAGCUAACGCGUUAAGUAUCCCGCCUGGGGAGUACGCUCGCAAGGGUGAAGCUCAAAGGAAUUGACGGGGGCCCGCACAAGCGGUGGAGCAUGUGGUUUAAUUCGAUGCAACGCGAAGAACCUUACCAGGGCUUGACAUACUACAGAUUCUUUUGAGAAAAAGAAGUGCCUUCGGGAAUGUAGAUACAGGUGGUGCAUGGCUGUCGUCAGCUCGUGUCGUGAGAUGUUGGGUUAAGUCCCGCAACGAGCGCAACCCUUAUUUUUAGUUACUAAUUCGUUAGGUUCUCUAGAAAGACUGCCGGUGACAAACCGGAGGAAGGUGAGGAUGACGUCAAGUCAGCAUGCCCCUUAUGUCCUGGGCUACACACGUGCUACAAUGGUUAAGACAAAGAGUCGCGAGCUCGCGAGAGUCAGCUAAUCUCAUAAACUUAGCCUAAGUUCAGAUUGUAGGCUGCAACUCGCCUACAGUGAAG